This is a non-coding RNA of Danio rerio (zebrafish), 73 nucleotides long. The record is from Rfam. NCBI's taxonomy places the organism in Eukaryota, Metazoa, Chordata, Actinopteri, Cypriniformes, Danionidae.
GUUUCUGUAGUGUAGUGGUUAUCACGUUCGCCUCACACGCGAAAGGUCCCCAGUUCGAAACUGGGCGGAAACA